RNAcentral lists this ribosomal RNA (490 nucleotides) under uncultured bacterium. RNAcentral's name for it is "partial 16S ribosomal RNA". It matches the Rfam family "Bacterial small subunit ribosomal RNA", at positions 29 to 507 of the family's 1533-position model. The record is from RNAcentral.
AGUGAACGCUGGCGGUAGGCCUAACACAUGCAAGUCGAACGGCAGCACAGGAGAGCUUGCUCUCUGGGUGGCGAGUGGCGGACGGGUGAGGAAUACAUCGGAAUCUACCUUUUCGUGGGGGAUAACGUAGGGAAACUUACGCUAAUACCGCAUACUACCUACGGGUGAAAGUGGGGGACCGCAAGGCCUCACGCGAUUAGAUGAGCCGAUGUCCGAUUAGCUAGUUGGCGGGGUAAUGGCCCACCAAGGCGACGAUCGGUAGCUGGUCUGAGAGGAUGAUCAGCCACACUGGAACUGAGACACGGUCCAGACUCCUACGGGAGGCAGCAGUGGGGAAUAUUGGACAAUGGGCGCAAGCCUGAUCCAGCCAUACCGCGUGGGUGAAGAAGGCCUUCGGGUUGUAAAGCCCUUUUGUUGGGAAAGAAAUCCUGUCGAUUAAUACUCGGUGGGGAUGACGGUACCCAAAGAAUAAGCACCGGCUAACUUCGUG